CAAUAGCGUAUAUUAAAGUUGUUGCAGUUAAAAAGCUCGUAGUUGGACCUUGGGCCUGGACGGGCGGUCCGCCUCACGGCGUGUACUGUCUUGCCGGGCCUUUCCUCUUGGUGAUCUGUUGUUUCGGCAGCAGGGAACCAGGACCUUUACUUUGAAAAAAUUAGAGUGUUCAAAGCAGGCUCGACGCCGGAAUAUAUUAGCAUGGAAUAAUAAAAUAGGGCGUGCGGUUCUAUUUUGUUGGUUUUUGGAAUCGCCGUAAUGAUUAAUAGGGACAGUCGGGGGCAUUAGUACUCACAUGCUAGAGGUGAAAUUCUUGGAUUUUGUGAAGACUAACUUCUGCGAAAGCAUUUGCCAAGGAUGUUUUCAUUAA
This 370-nucleotide ribosomal RNA is filed under the name uncultured eukaryote. RNAcentral's name for it is "partial 18S ribosomal RNA". It matches the Rfam family "Eukaryotic small subunit ribosomal RNA", at positions 592 to 976 of the family's 1831-position model. The record is from RNAcentral.